UGCUCUUCCUGGUCUCUCAUUAUGUACUGCCCCAUUUUCAUGUUCGGCGAAUUUCUUGUACUUCAGAUCAACGGGAACGGACUGCAAACCAUGCCUAAGAGAAACUGACUGAUGAUUGGUUUUACGAUACUUUCCAGAACUAGGUUUGACCACAAUAACUCUUGUAGACGGAUGAGGCAUGUUUUCAUUUGGAUCAAGCUGAAAGUUUAUUUUCUUCAAGUGAUGAAUAGAACAUUCUCCAAUGUCAUCCUUAGGUGAA
Molecule: unclassified non-coding RNA, 259 nt
Filed under: Hevea brasiliensis (rubber tree)
Lineage: Eukaryota; Viridiplantae; Streptophyta; Magnoliopsida; Malpighiales; Euphorbiaceae
Source: RNAcentral